CAGGAACGGAUAUAACCCUGACCAUCGAUGCCGAGGCUGCUGGAGCCACAGACUUGAACAACGCAUUCCUGCAUCUCUACGUUGUAAGCAAGGAGACAGGUUUUACCACUCCCCAGAACGGGCUACUAGGCGUCUCCUCCAAGUUACCAGGGUUCUGGUCUAGAAGCACGGUUUCGAUUGCUAAUACAGUUUUGUUUCUGUACUGCAGUAUAAGGGACACUUGGCCCAGAAAGACCAUUUCCACACGGCCACAUAGAGAGGUCAGAUUUGAAAAUGUGAUGACAUAAUGACGACAUCGCUGCUCACGCUGCUCCCUGUGUGAACUGAGUGCUAGUGUGCAUGUGAUGUUGGGCUGAGUAAACCAGAUGCAUCCUGGAUAUACACCUGAUUACCUUGAUAACAACGGGCAGACACACUGGACACAGACUCCAGUUCUUAUUAGAAGGACCGAGCACGCCCCCAUUCUCAUCGACGGGGCUGUAGUGGAGCAGGCUGAGAGCUUCAAGUUCCUUGGGGUCCACAUCACCAACAAACUAACUUGGUACAAGCACAAC
Molecule: long non-coding RNA, 554 nt
Organism: Oncorhynchus tshawytscha (Chinook salmon)
Lineage: Eukaryota; Metazoa; Chordata; Actinopteri; Salmoniformes; Salmonidae
Source: Ensembl